This 397-nucleotide ribosomal RNA is filed under the name uncultured bacterium. RNAcentral describes it as "bacterial SSU rRNA". It matches the Rfam family "Bacterial small subunit ribosomal RNA", at positions 29 to 451 of the family's 1533-position model. The record is from RNAcentral.
AACGAACGCUGGCGGCAGGCCUAACACAUGCAAGUCGAACGCCCGUACGCAAUACGGGAGUGGCAGACGGGUGAGUAACGCGUGGGAACGUGCCCUUCGGUUCGGAAUAACUCAGGGAAACUUGAGCUAAUACCGGAUACGUCCGUAAGGAGAAAGAUUUAUCGCCGAAGGAUCGGCCCGCGUCGGAUUAGCUAGUUGGUGAGGUAACGGCCCACCAAGGCGCGAUCCGUAGCUGGUCUGAGAGGAUGAUCAGCCACACUGGGACUGAGACACGGCCCAGACUCCUACGGGAGGCAGCAGUGGGGAAUAUUGGACAAUGGGCGAAAGCCUGAUCCAGCCAUGCCGCGUGAGUGAAGAAGGCCUUAGGGUUGUAAAGCUCUUUCAGCGGGAAGGAUAA